CCGUAGGUGAACCUGCGGAGGGAUCAUUACCGAGUUAUACAACUCAUCAACCCUGUGAACAUACCUAUAACGUUGCCUCGGCGGGAACAGACGGCCCCGUAACACGGGCCGCCCCCGCCAGAGGACCCCCUAACUCUGUUUCUAUAAUGUUUCUUCUGAGUAAACAAGCAAAUAAAUUAAAACUUUCAACAACGGAUCUCUUGGCUCUGGCAUCGAUGAAGAACGCAGCGAAAUGCGAUAAGUAAUGUGAAUUGCAGAAUUCAGUGAAUCAUCGAAUCUUUGAACGCACAUUGCGCCCGCCAGUAUUCUGGCGGGCAUGCCUGUUCGAGCGUCAUUACAACCCUCAGGCCCCCGGGCCUGGCGUUGGGGAUCGGCGGAAGCCCCCUGCGGGCACAACGCCGUCCCCCAAAUACAGUGGCGGUCCCGCCGCAGCUUCCAUUGCGUAGUAGCUAACACCUCGCAACUGGAGAGCGGCGCGGCCACGCCGUAAAACACCCAACUUCUGAAUGUUGACCUCGAAUCAGGUAGGAAUACCCGCUGAACUUAAGCAUAUCAAUAAGCGGAGGA
This 567-nucleotide ribosomal RNA is filed under the name Fusarium solani. Its description in RNAcentral is "eukaryotic LSU rRNA". The stretch from base 181 to 334 matches the Rfam family "5.8S ribosomal RNA". Lineage: Eukaryota; Fungi; Ascomycota; Sordariomycetes; Hypocreales; Nectriaceae. The record is from RNAcentral.